RNAcentral lists this ribosomal RNA (525 nucleotides) under uncultured Porphyromonas sp. RNAcentral describes it as "bacterial SSU rRNA". It matches the Rfam family "Bacterial small subunit ribosomal RNA", at positions 10 to 523 of the family's 1533-position model. Lineage: Bacteria; Pseudomonadati; Bacteroidota; Bacteroidia; Bacteroidales; Porphyromonadaceae. The record is from RNAcentral.
AGUUUGAUCAUGGCUCAGGAUGAACGCUAGCGAUAGGCUUAACACAUGCAAGUCGAGGGGCAGCAUUAUUUUAGCUUGCUAAGAUAGAUGGCGACCGGCGCACGGGUGCGUAACGCGUAUGCAACCUGCCUGUAAUUAGGGAAUAACCCGGUGAAAGUCGGACUAAUACCCUAUAUUCUUCUUUCUCCGCAUGGAGGAGGACGGAAAGAUUUAUUGAUUACAGAUGGGCAUGCGUCCCAUUAGCUGGUUGGUAAGGUAACGGCUUACCAAGGCAACGAUGGGUAGGGGGACUGAGAGGUUGACCCCCCACACUGGUACUGAGACACGGACCAGACUCCUACGGGAGGCAGCAGUGAGGAAUAUUGGUCAAUGGGCGAGAGCCUGAACCAGCCAAGUCGCGUGAAGGACGACGGUUCUAUGGAUUGUAAACUUCUUUUGUAGAGGAAUAACGGCAGCUACGUGUAGCUGAGAUGCAUGUACUCUACGAAUAAGUAUCGGCUAACUCCGUGCCAGCAGCCGCGGUAA